UCCAAAUGUCCACUUGCAGAUUAUACAAAAAGAGUGUUUCAAAACUGCUCUAUCAAAAGAAAUUUUCAACUCUGUGAGUUGAAUGCAAUCAUCACAAAGAGGUUUCUGACAAUGCUUCCAUCUAGUUUUUAUGUGAAGAUAUUUCCUUUUACACCAUUGGCCUCAAAACGCUCCAAGUGUCCAAUUGCAGAUACUACAAAAAGAGUGUUUCAAAUCUGCUCUA
RNAcentral lists this long non-coding RNA (223 nucleotides) under Homo sapiens (human). Its description in RNAcentral is "HSALNT0407662". Lineage: Eukaryota; Metazoa; Chordata; Mammalia; Primates; Hominidae. The record is from RNAcentral.